Podarcis lilfordi (Lilford's wall lizard) is the source of this 81-nucleotide non-coding RNA. The record is from the annotation of a GenBank genome assembly. Lineage: Eukaryota; Metazoa; Chordata; Lepidosauria; Squamata; Lacertidae.
GCCCCCUAAAAAUAUGAGUUAAGUUGGUAGAGCAUGAGGCUCUUAAUCUCGGGGUCCUGGGUUUGAGCCCCACGCGGGGCA